CCAAGCUCUCCCUCAGCGCUGCCAGCCGUCGGCCCCGGCGGAGCCGGCGUCCACAGACAGCCGUGAUUAUGCUUCCUGACCACCGGGGCGCCCUCCUGGGAUAAGUGCAGUGUUUUAAAUGAUGCCCUUGAGCUGCCUAUAAACUGCCUACAAAUGACAGCUGGAGUGAAAAAUGACCUGUUUUGGGAUGAGAAUCUGUUGCAAGAGGAACAUACAGUUUGCAAAAUGACGCACAAGGAGCUGCACUACUGCUGCCCUAUUUCCUUAAAGAUGUGUUGUCAAUAGAUUUUUUUGGUACCUGUUGAAAACCUGUGCUCUAUAAAUGGAACAACAAAGCCUGGAUGACAGCACAUCUGUUUACAACAUAGUUUACUGAAUAUUCGAAGCCCACUGUUGAGAUCUAUGGCUCAGAAGAAAAGAUUCCUUUCAAAAUAUUGACAAUGUUCAUUGACAAUGCACCUGGUCACCAAGAGCUCUAAUGGAGAUAUACAAUGAGAUUAAUGCUGUUUUCAUGCCUGCUAACACAACAUCCACUCUGCAGCCCAUGGAUCAAGGAGUAAUUUCAACUUUCAAAUCUUAUUAUUUAAGGAAUACAUUUCAUAAGGCUAUAGCUGCCAUCGAUAUUAAUUCCUCUGAUGCAUCUGGGCAAAGUCAAUUGAAAACCUUCUGGAAAGUAGUCACCAUUCUAGAUGCCACUAAGAACAUUCAUGAUUCAUGGGAAGAGGUCAAAAUAUCAACAUUAACGGGAAUUUGGAAGAAGUUGAUUCCAACCCUCAUGGAUGACUGAGGGGAUCAAGACUUCAGUGGACAAGGUAACUGCAGAUGUGGUGGAAAUAGGAAGAGAACUAGAAUUAGAAGUGGAGCCUGAAGAUGUGAUGAAUUGCUGCAAUCUCAUAAUAAAACUUUCAUGGGUGAGGAGUUGCUCCUUAUGGAUGAGCAAAGAAAAUGGUUUCUUGAGAUGGAAUCUACUCCUGGUGAAGAUGCUAUGAAGAUUGUUGAAAUGACAAGAAAGGAUUUAGAACAUUACAUAAACUUAGUUGAUAAAGCAGUGGCAGAGUUUGAGAGGAUUGACUACAAUUUUGAAAGAAGUUCUACUGCAGGUAAAAUGCUAUCAAACAGCAUUGCCUGCUACGGAGAAGUCACUCGUGAAAGAAAGAAUCAAUUGAUGUGGCACACUUCAUUGUUCAUUACUGCCUUAUUUUAAGCAAUGGCUACAGCCGCCCCGACCUUUCAGCAGCAACCAUCCUGAUCAGUCAGCAGCCAAGAACAUUGAGGCAGGACCCUUCACCAGCAAAAAGAUUACAUACAACUCACUGAAGCCUCAGAUGAUGGUUAGCAUUUUUCAGCAAUAAAGUUUUGUUUUUUUUUCUCUGCUGCACCCUGCAGAAUAUGGGAAUCUUAUGUCCCCCGACCAGGGAUCGAACGCGCACCCCCUGCAUUGGCAGCCCGGAAUCGUAACCACUGGACUGCCAGGGAAGUCCCGGCAAU
Molecule: long non-coding RNA, 1488 nt
Organism: Lagenorhynchus albirostris (white-beaked dolphin)
Lineage: Eukaryota; Metazoa; Chordata; Mammalia; Artiodactyla; Delphinidae
Exons: 4
Source: RefSeq, a predicted model, not a curated record